CCUGCAUUCUCUUUCCAAAUUUCUUUUCCUUGAUGAUUUGAAGGAAUGUACCAGUACUACUGUUCUGCAGACUUGUUCUUCAGAAACUCUUCCGCUGUAAGGAAAAUGUAACCUGAGCCUGACUCUAACUCGUUCAAAAGCACUUCUUCAUUCGUUUGGUGUUUAUGGGAAGGAGUAGCGCAUCUGCUCUCUCACUUACAACUCGCACAAAUGCUAUUUUAGUUUUGAGCUUUGUAGCUAGGAGUACAUUAUAAACUAUGCUACAGGGUUGCCGCGUCCUUCUGGUUUAUUAGCUAGCAGAUUUGUGAAUGUGAAUGGUAAGUUUUAGAACCCCUUUCCUUUUGAAGUUCGACUAGUCAGUCGGAUAGACAUUUGGGUAGGAAGCAUCCACCCACCAGUCAAAAACUAAACCAGCAAACGUGGAGAGUAAAUUACCCAUUCAAGAGGUCUGCACAAGCAAUGCUACAAAUAUUCUAAAUUGGAGUUGGAGCUAUAUUGUAGUCUUUUUGCGGGUUUGUAUAUGCAACUUAUUUGGGAACUGAGGUUGCUGCCUGGUGAACUCUAUGUUACAUGCUGUUGAAUGCAGCACAACGUUCCAGUGUUUCAAGGACUUGUACCGAUGAACACGGGUUGGAGUGGUUUAUGCCUAAUAAUACGGAUCGAUUGUUAGAUUGACUCUUGAAGUUCCUUGCAACAUUUGCUACUCUCUGGUCACGAAGGUGGCUUGAGGAUCAUCUGUGUCCCUUAUACUUGAAGGCUUCUUGAUUUUUUCUUUUUUCUUUAACUUUCCAGGAGAGCUUUUUCCUCUGACCCAGCUCAGAUCAACCAGUCAAAAAGAACGAAGAGAAAGAAGCCAGAGAUUGCCGAAGGCAAUGGAAGAUAUGGAAGAGGAUGGCCACAUCUCUCAGACUUCAUCACCGCCAACACCGCCAUCACCUCUUCCCAUAAGUACAGGACCUGGCAAUCAAAAAUACUAUUUCUCGCCAUCUCCAACUCCAUCCCCGCCAUUUUCACCACCGCAGUCCAGUCAUACAUCUGCAGAAAACCUUCCUCUUCUGCAGGAGUCAUCUGUUCCUACUCGAACGCCGCCUUUGGCAUUUUCCUUGGACCGUAAACAAGCAGAUGAAGCAGAGGAUUCCAGAAGUUCGUGCCUUAAGGACUUGUAAGCUCUUCUUCAUCCUUUACUUUGCUAAGUAGAUGGUGAGCAUCAAUUUUCAACAGGAUCAGGUGGGAUCCAUAUUAGGAACAAAGUAGAGCGUUCACUCUUGCACAAAGUGUUAGCUUAAUUUGUACUAGCGCAGAAGAUAGGAAACUACUGCAUCACCUUCAUCUGUUCCACUUCCUGGGACUUCAAUAGCUAGAAGUAUCUUUGAAUGGUAGGUUUUAACAUUUGAAGCGCCAACUACUCGGCUGUGUAGACAUUUUUUAGCAGGAAGCCUACAACUACCAGUCAAACCCAGCAAUCCCGUUUAAACAAGAACAGUAGGGAAUCACUUUCCUUCCAAAUUUUCGGAGCAGGCAAGCAGAGCUCAUAUAGUUAUUUUGCUGGUUGGCUAUACCACCAGGGCAUUAGGCCUGAUGUAUCCUGCUAGCAAGUUGGAGUGGUUUAUUCGAAGAUGCUGCAACUGCUUCAUUGAGUCUUACACAUCGAGGAGUCAUCAUCAGCUACACUAGCAACAGCGAGCGAUUGUUUGUAACCAUUGUUUUUUGGAUUUUUACCAUUUCUCAGGACCAAUUAGCUUCUUCUAACCUGUGACCUGACUCAUACGUCAGAGGUUGUAAACUUUACAUGUUUGUGUAACUGCCCAUACGAACACAUCAAAUUUGUUUUAGGAAAUGCUCAAAUUUGACCAAAAAUGUAGAGAGAACUGUGAGGGAAGAUCUGAGUCUGUUGGUCCAGAAA
Molecule: RNA transcript, 1903 nt
Organism: Rhodamnia argentea
Lineage: Eukaryota; Viridiplantae; Streptophyta; Magnoliopsida; Myrtales; Myrtaceae
Exons: 2
Source: RefSeq, a predicted model, not a curated record